This 253-nucleotide ribosomal RNA is filed under the name uncultured bacterium. RNAcentral describes it as "partial 16S ribosomal RNA". It matches the Rfam family "Bacterial small subunit ribosomal RNA", at positions 524 to 776 of the family's 1533-position model. The record is from RNAcentral.
UACGUAGGGUCCGAGCGUUGUCCGGAAUUACUGGGCGUAAAGAGCUCGUAGGUGGUUCGUCGCGUUGUUCGUGAAAACUCACAGCUCAACUGUGGGCGUGCGGGCGAUACGGGCAGACUAGAGUACUGCAGGGGAGACUGGAAUUCCUGGUGUAGCGGUGGAAUGCGCAGAUAUCAGGAGGAACACCGGUGGCGAAGGCGGGUCUCUGGGCAGUAACUGACGCUGAGGAGCGAAAGCGUGGGGAGCGAACAGG